GUAGGGAAUAUUGGACAAUGGGGGCAACCCUGAUCCAGCGACGCCGCGUGAGUGAUGAAGGCCUUCGGGUCGUAAAGCUCUGUUGCAGGGGAAGAACACAAUGACGGUACCCUGCUAGAAAGGAUCGGCUAACUUCGUGCCAGCAGCCGCGGUAAGACGAGGGAUCCUAGCGUUGUUCGGAAUCAUUGGGCGUAAAGCGGAUGUAGGUGGCUAUGUAAGUCAGAUGUGAAAGCCUGGGGCUCAACCCCAGAAGUGCAUUUGAUACUGCGUAGCUUGAGUGUCGGAGAGGUUACUAGAAUUGUUGGUGUAGUGGUGAAAUACGUAGAUAUCAACAGGAAUACCGGAGGCGAAGGCGGGUAACUGGCCGAACACUGACACUGAGAUCCGAAAGCGUGGGGAUCAAACAGGAUUAGAAACCCCAGUAGUCC
Molecule: ribosomal RNA, 428 nt
Filed under: uncultured bacterium
Lineage: Bacteria
Description: partial 16S ribosomal RNA
Rfam family: Bacterial small subunit ribosomal RNA
Source: RNAcentral